UAAGCGUGUCCCUUGUACCGACUGGAUGAGCAGCGAACCGGGUGAGUAACGCGUGGGGAAUCUGCCUUUGAGCGGGGGACAACAUUUGGAAACGAAUGCUAAUACCGCAUAAAAACUUUAAACACAAGUUUUAAGUUUGAAAGAUGCAAUUGCAUCACUCAAAGAUGAUCCCGCGUUGUAUUAGCUAGUUGGUGAGGUAAAGGCUCACCAAGGCGAUGAUACAUAGCCGACCUGAGAGGGUGAUCGGCCACAUUGGGACUGAGACACGGCCCAAACUCCUACGGGAGGCAGCAGUAGGGAAUCUUCGGCAAUGGACGAAAGUCUGACCGAGCAACGCCGCGUGAGUGAAGAAGGUUUUCGGAUCGUAAAACUCUGUUGGUAGAGAAGAACGUUGGUGAGAGUGGAAAGCUCAUCAAGUGACGGUAACUACCCAGAAAGGGACGGCUAACUACGUGCCACAGCCGCGGUAAUACUUAGGUCCCCGAGCGUUGUCCGGAUUUAUUGGGCGUAAAGCGAGCGCAGGUGGUUUAUUAAGUCUGGUGUAAAAAGGCAGUGGCUCAACCAUUGUAUGCAUUGGAAAACUGGGUAAACUUGAGUGCAGGAAAGGAGAGUGUAAUUCCCAUGUGUAGCGUGAAAUGGCUUAAAUAUAUGGAGGAACACCGGUGGCAAAAGCCGGCUCUCUGGCCCUGUA
RNAcentral lists this ribosomal RNA (691 nucleotides) under Lactococcus lactis. Its description in RNAcentral is "bacterial SSU rRNA". It matches the Rfam family "Bacterial small subunit ribosomal RNA", at positions 63 to 738 of the family's 1533-position model. Lineage: Bacteria; Bacillati; Bacillota; Bacilli; Lactobacillales; Streptococcaceae. The record is from RNAcentral.